This 1237-nucleotide ribosomal RNA is filed under the name metagenome. RNAcentral describes it as "bacterial LSU rRNA". It matches the Rfam family "Bacterial large subunit ribosomal RNA", at positions 1564 to 2808 of the family's 2925-position model. The record is from RNAcentral.
UGAGUACGAGAUGCUACGGCAUCGAAGCAGUCUAUGUCAUACUUCCAAGAAAAGCUUGCAAUGUCAUAAACAAAUAAUGCCUGUACCAUAACCGACACAGGUGGGUAGGUAGAGUAUACUAAGGGGCGCGAGAUAACUCUCUCUAAGGAACUCGGCAAAAUGACUCCGUAACUUCGGGAGAAGGAGUGCCUUAUUUUUAUAAGGUUGCAAUAACAAGAUCCAAGCAACUGUUUACCAAAAACACAGGUCUCCGCUAAGUCGUAAGACGAUGUAUGGGGGCUGACGCCUGCCCAGCGCCAGAAGGUUAAAGAAGUUGGUUAGCAUUAGCGAAGCUGAUAACUGAAGCCCUGGUGAACGGCGGCCGUAACAAUAACGGUCCUAAGGUAGCGAAAUUCCUUGUCGGGUAAGUUCCGACCCGCACGAAAGGCGUAAUGAUUUGGAUACUGUCUCGGAGAGGGGCUCGGUGAAAUAGACUUGUCUGUGAGGAUGCGGACUACCUGCACCUGGACAGAAAGACCCUAUGAAGCUUUACUGUAACUUGAGAUUGAAAUUGGACUUUAUCUGCGCAGUAUAGGUGGGAGACGUUGAAAAUAUUCUUGCGGGAAUAUUGGAGUCAUCAGUGAGAUACCACUCUUAUAAUGUUAGAUUUCUAACUUUGUAUCAUUAUCUGGUCAAAGAACAGUUUCAGGCGGGCAGUUUGACUGGGGCGGUCGCCUCCCAAACGGUAACGGAGGCGCACAAAGGUUUCCUCUGAACGUGUAGAAAUCGUAUCUAGAGUGUAAAGGCAUAAGGAAGCUUGACUGUGAGACCUACAAGUCGAGCAGGGACGAAAGUCGGUCUUAGUGAUCUGACGGUGCUGAGUGGAAAGGCCGUCACUCAACGGAUAAAAGUUACUCUAAGGAUAACAGGCUGAUCUCCCCCAAGAGUUCACAUCGACGGGGAGGUUUGGCACCUCGAUGUCGGCUCAUCGCAUCCUGGGGCGGUAGUACGUCCCAAGGGUUGGGCUGUUCGCCCAUGAAAGCGGUACGCGAGCUGGGUUCAGAACGUCGUGAGACAGUUCGGUCCAUAUCCGGUGUAGGCGUUAGAAUAUUGAGAGGAGCCUUCUUUAGUACGAGAGGACCGAGAAGGACAUACCUCUGGUGUACCAGUUAUCGUGCCAACGGUAAACGCUGGGUAGCCAUGUAUGGAGAGGAUAACCGCUGAAAGCAUCUAAGUGGGAAGCCCACCUCAAGAUAAG